CUUCUACUUACUUCUUCGUAGAAUGCAAUUAGGUUAGUUUGACAUGACCUAUGUUUCAUAAAACCAUGCUGAUUAUUGCUAAUAAGUUCUUCCCAAUGAAUUCCUGAAUAUUAUCCCUUAAUAGCCCUUCAAAUAUUUUCCCAGUUACAGAAGUUAAGCUCACAGGUCUAUAAUUUCCAGGCAAGGAUUUUGAACCCUUUUUAAAUAUAGGAACAACAUCUGCCUUCCUCCAAUCCUCCGG
This is a non-coding RNA of Pelobates cultripes (western spadefoot toad), 241 nucleotides long. The record is from the annotation of a GenBank genome assembly. Lineage: Eukaryota; Metazoa; Chordata; Amphibia; Anura; Pelobatidae.